Molecule: transfer RNA, 72 nt
Filed under: Acentrogobius chlorostigmatoides (greenspot goby)
Lineage: Eukaryota; Metazoa; Chordata; Actinopteri; Gobiiformes; Gobiidae
Also listed under: 2 other names
Description: tRNA-Asp
Rfam family: tRNA
About the family: Transfer RNA (tRNA) molecules are approximately 80 nucleotides in length. Their secondary structure includes four short double-helical elements and three loops (D, anti-codon, and T loops).
Source: RNAcentral
AAGAUACUAGUAUAAAUGAAAAUACACUGCCUUGUCAAGGCAGAGUCGUAGGUUAGACCCCUGCGUAUCUUG